This 253-nucleotide ribosomal RNA is filed under the name uncultured bacterium. Its description in RNAcentral is "partial 16S ribosomal RNA". It matches the Rfam family "Bacterial small subunit ribosomal RNA", at positions 524 to 776 of the family's 1533-position model. The record is from RNAcentral.
UACGAAGGGGGCGAGCGUUGUUCGGAUUUACUGGGCGCAAAGGGCGCGUAGGCGGCCUUGUCAGUCAGGCGUGAAAGCCCCCGGCUCAACUGGGGAGGGUCAUUCGAUACUGUCCGACUCGAAGGCAGGAGAGGGAAGCGGAAUUCCCGGUGUAGUGGUGAAAUGCGUAGAUAUCGGGAGGAACACCAGUGGCGAAGGCGGCUUUCUGGCCUGUUCUUGACGCUGAGGCGCGAAAGCUAGGGGAGCGAACGGG